UGGGGAAUAUUGGGCAAUGGGGGAAACCCUGACCCAGCAACGCCGCGUGAGGGAAGAAGGUCUUCGGAUCGUAAAACUCUGUCCUUGGUGACGAAAGAAAUGACGGUAACCAAGAAGGAAGCCCCGGCUAACUACGUGCCAGCAGCCGCGGUAAUACGUAGGGGGCGAGCGUUGUCCGGAAUGAUUGGGCGUAAAGGGCGCGUAGGCGGCCGAGCAAGUCAGUAGUGGAAGUCCAAUUUUCAAGGUUGGAAGUGCUAUUGAAACUGCAGGGCUUGAGUGCAGGAGAGGUUAUCGGAAUUCCCGGUGUAGCGGUGAAAUGCGUAGAGAACGGGAGGAACACCAGUGGCGAAGGCGGGUAACUGGACUGCAACUGACGCUGAGGCGCGAAAGUGUGGGGAGCAAACAGG
Molecule: ribosomal RNA, 407 nt
Filed under: uncultured prokaryote
Also listed under: 1 other name
Description: bacterial SSU rRNA
Rfam family: Bacterial small subunit ribosomal RNA
Source: RNAcentral